AAUCAACGCUGGCGGCGUGCCUCAGACAUGCAAGUCGAACGCGAAAGUUCCCUUCGGGGGGCGAGUAGAGUGGCGCACGGGUGAGUAACACGUAGGUAAUCUACCUUUGGGUGGGGAAUAACAGCCGGAAACGGCUGCUAAUACCGCAUAAUGCAGCGGCUCGACAUCGAGACAGUUGUUAAAGCGGGGGAUCGCAAGACCUCGCGCCUAAAGAGGAGCCUGCGGCGGAUUAGCUUGUUGGUGAGGUAAUGGCUCACCAAGGCAUCGAUCCGUAGCCGGCCUGAGAGGGCGGUCGGCCACACUGACACCGACAU
RNAcentral lists this ribosomal RNA (314 nucleotides) under uncultured bacterium. RNAcentral describes it as "bacterial SSU rRNA". It matches the Rfam family "Bacterial small subunit ribosomal RNA", at positions 32 to 325 of the family's 1533-position model. The record is from RNAcentral.